RNAcentral lists this ribosomal RNA (446 nucleotides) under uncultured bacterium. RNAcentral describes it as "bacterial SSU rRNA". It matches the Rfam family "Bacterial small subunit ribosomal RNA", at positions 328 to 792 of the family's 1533-position model. The record is from RNAcentral.
UUGCCAGACUCCUACGGGAGGCAGCAGUGGGGGAUAUUGCACAAUGGAGGAAACUCUGAUGCAGCGACGCCGCGUGAGGGAAGACGGUCUUCGGAUUGUAAACCUCUGUCUUUGGGGAAGAAAAUGACGGUACCCAAAGAGGAAGCUCCGGCUAACUACGUGCCAGCAGCCGCGGUAAUACGUAGGGAGCGAGCGUUGUCCGGAAUUACUGGGUGUAAAGGGAGCGUAGGCGGGGAUGCAAGUUGGGUGUCAAAACUACCGGCUCAACUGGUAGUCGCACUCAAAACUGCAGCUCUUGAGUGAAGUAGAGGCAGGCGGAAUUCCUAGUGUAGCGGUGAAAUGCGUAGAUAUUAGGAGGAACACCAGUGGCGAAGGCGGCCUGCUGGGCUUUUACUGACGCUGAGGCUCGAAAGUGUGGGGAGCAAACAGGAUUAGAUACCCGAGUA